AUGUUCUCGUCUGUGUAGCAUCUGGCACUGGCGAACCUCUUCAAAGCGCCCCACCUGCAGCUGGUACACGAUGGCCUCACGGGCCCCCGCAGCAGCCCCGCGGGUCCCCCGGGUCCGCCCCGCCGUUCGCGCAAUCUGGCAGCAGCUGCCGUGGAAGAAUACAGUUGCAAAUAUGGCUCCUUGAAGUUUUAUGCACUGUGUGGCUUUGGUGGGAUCUUAAGUUGUGGUCUGACACACAUGGCUGUCGUUCCUCUGGAUUUAGUGAAAUGCUGUAUGCAGGUGGACCCCCAGAAGUACAAGGGCAUAUUUAAUGGAUUCUCAGUUACACUUAAAGAGGAUGGUGUUCGUGGUUUGGCUAAAGGAUGGGCUCUGACUUUCACUGGCUACUCUAUGCAGGGGCUCUGCAAGUUUGGCUUUUAUGAAGUUUUCAAAGUCUUGUAUAGCAACAUGCUUGGGGAGGAGAAUGCCUAUCUCUGGUGCACAUCAUUAUAUUUGGCUGCUUCUGCCAGUGCUGAAUUCUUUGCUGACAUUGCCCUGGCUCCUAUGGAAGCUGCUAAGGUUCAAAUUCAAACCCAACCAGGUUAUGUCAACACUUUGAGGGAUGCAGCUCCCAAAAUAUAUAAGGAAGAAGGCUUAAAAGCAUUCUACAAGGGAGUUGCCCCUGUCUGGAUGAGACAGAUACCAUACACCAUGAUGAAAUUUGCCUGCUUUGAACGUACUGUUGAAGCAUUGUACGAGUUUGUGGUUCGUAAGCCCGGAAGUGAAUGUUCAAAGGCAGAGCAACUGGUUGUAACAUUUGUGGCAGGUUACAUAGCUGGAGUCUUCUGUGCAAUUGUUUCUCACCCUGCUGAUUCCGUGGUAUCUGUGUUGAAUAAGGAAAAAGGCAGCAGUGCUUCUCAAGUUCUUCAGAGACUUGGAUUUAAAGGUGUAUGGAAGGGACUCUUUGCCCAUAUCAUCAUGAUUGGCACUCUGGCUGCACUACAGUGGUUCCUCUAUGACUCUUUGAAGGUCUACUUCAGGCUCCCUGGCCCUCCUCCACCUGAAAUGCCAGAGUCUCUGAAGAAGAGGCUUGGGUUAACUCAGUAGAAUGAUCAAAGCAAAGGUGGACUGAAUCUGCUUGUUGAUCAGUGUUGAAGAAAGUGCAAGAGGAACUUUUAUAUAUUUGACAGUGUAGGAAAUUGUCUAUUCCUGGUAUAAUUACUGUAGUCUCUUGCCUAAGGCGAGGGUUUCAAACCCACUGUUGAAAUAAACCCAACUA
Leptonychotes weddellii (Weddell seal) is the source of this 1258-nucleotide non-coding RNA. The record is from RefSeq and is a predicted model, not a curated record. Lineage: Eukaryota; Metazoa; Chordata; Mammalia; Carnivora; Phocidae.